UACAGGGGUCUCAAGCGUUGUUCGGAUUCAUUGGGCGUAAAGGGUGCGUAGGCGGCGCGGUAUGUCGGGUGUGAAAUCUCGGAGCUUAACUCCGAAACUGCAUUCGAUACUGCCGUGCUUGAGGACUGGAGAGGAGACUGGAAUUUACGGUGUAGCGGUGAAAUGCGUAGAUAUCGUAAGGAAGACCAGUGGCGAAGGCAGCUCGCUGGGACGGUACUGACGCUGAGACGCGAAAGCGUGGGGAGCAAACAGG
Molecule: ribosomal RNA, 253 nt
Filed under: uncultured bacterium
Lineage: Bacteria
Description: partial 16S ribosomal RNA
Rfam family: Bacterial small subunit ribosomal RNA
Source: RNAcentral